This 372-nucleotide long non-coding RNA is filed under the name Homo sapiens (human). RNAcentral's name for it is "HSALNT0394050". The record is from RNAcentral. Lineage: Eukaryota; Metazoa; Chordata; Mammalia; Primates; Hominidae.
CAGGGAAAGGGGAAAACAGCAACCUCUUGAGCUGGAGCCUUAGGCUAGAAAAGAUCACUGAUUACCCACCUGUUCCCCCUGGAUACUAGGGCUUCAAUCCAGAAGGUGCUGUGAUGAAGUGGCUUCAGCAAAAUAUUACCUGAGACAUCCUGAUCCAUUAUGAGAACGGCAGCAGCAGGAUUUGGCCUGGGGAUGGAACAAAGGGACCCCCUGCUGUAGAGCAAGGGAGAAGGGAAUUUUAAAGAAGAGAUUGCAUCAAUAAAGAUUCUUUUAGCAUUAUUUUUAUCAUUAUAAAAAUUACACAUACUUGUUUUAGAUUAUUUGAAAACUUCAGAGCUGUAAAGAUGAAAAUAAAAAUUGCUUAUUAUCUUA